GAUCCUGGCUCAGGAUGAACGCUAGCUACAGGCUUUAACACAUGCAAGUCGCGGGGCAGCAUUUUCCUAGCUUGCUAGGGAGAUGGCGACCGGCGCACGGGUGAGUAACGCGUAUCCAACCUUCCCAUGUCCACGGGAUAGCCCGUCGAAAGGCGGAUUAAUACCGUAUGAGGUCACAUGCGGGCAUCUAAAUGUGACGAAAGGUUUUGCGGACAUGGAUGGGGAUGCGUCCGAUUAGCUGGUUGGCGGGGUAACGGCCCACCAAGGCGACGAUCGGUAGGGGUUCUGAGAGGAAGGUCCCCCACAUUGGAACUGAGACACGGUCCAAACUCCUACGGGAGGCAGCAGUGAGGAAUAUUGGUCAAUGGACGCAAGUCUGAACCAGCCAAGUAGCGUGCAGGAUGACGGCCCUAUGGGUUGUAAACUGCUUUUAUGCGGGGAUAAAGUGAGGGACGUGUCCCUUUUUGCAGGUACCGCAUGAAUAAGGACCGGCUAAUUCCGUG
This 503-nucleotide ribosomal RNA is filed under the name uncultured bacterium. RNAcentral describes it as "bacterial SSU rRNA". It matches the Rfam family "Bacterial small subunit ribosomal RNA", at positions 15 to 507 of the family's 1533-position model. The record is from RNAcentral.